This 127-nucleotide ribosomal RNA is filed under the name Lepisosteus oculatus (spotted gar). Lineage: Eukaryota; Metazoa; Chordata; Actinopteri; Semionotiformes; Lepisosteidae. The record is from RNAcentral.
GCCAGCAGCCAUAUCACCCUGCAACUCACAGCUCACAGCUGGCAGCCCCACUGUAGCUCAGCAGGUGUGAGCCUGGCCAGUACCUGGAUGGGAGACCUCCUGGGAAAAACGAAGGUUCCUGCUGGAA